This 73-nucleotide transfer RNA is filed under the name Bos taurus (domestic cattle). It matches the Rfam family "tRNA". Rfam says of the family: Transfer RNA (tRNA) molecules are approximately 80 nucleotides in length. Lineage: Eukaryota; Metazoa; Chordata; Mammalia; Artiodactyla; Bovidae. RNAcentral also lists the same sequence under 3 other names. The record is from Rfam by way of RNAcentral.
UCCCUGGUGGUCCAGUGGUUAGGACUCUGCACUUUCACUGCUGAGUGCCUAGUUUCAAUCCCUGGUUGAGUAA